RNAcentral lists this ribosomal RNA (339 nucleotides) under Amatolebias patriciae. RNAcentral describes it as "Austrolebias patriciae partial 12S ribosomal RNA". It matches the Rfam family "Bacterial small subunit ribosomal RNA", at positions 871 to 1386 of the family's 1533-position model. Lineage: Eukaryota; Metazoa; Chordata; Actinopteri; Cyprinodontiformes; Rivulidae. The record is from RNAcentral.
GCCUGAAAACUACAAGCGUAAGCUCAAAACUCAAAGGGUCUGGCGGCACUUUAAACUAUCUAGAGGAGCCUGUUCUGUAACUGAUAACCCCCGUUAAACCUCACCUUUUUUAGCUAUCAGCCUGUAUACCGCCGUCGUCAGCUUACCCCCUAAAGGCCACAUAGUAAGCAAAACUGGUUUAACCCAAAACGUCAGGUCGAGGUGCAGCUUAUAAAAAGGGAAGCAAUGGGCUACAUUUCCUAGGGUUCGGAUAGUGCAUUGAAACAUGCACAAUGAAGUAGGAUUUAGUAGUAAGUAAAAAAUAGAGUGUUUUACUGAAAAAGGUCUUAAAGUGCGUAC